Macaca fascicularis (crab-eating macaque) is the source of this 2191-nucleotide long non-coding RNA. The record is from Ensembl. NCBI's taxonomy places the organism in Eukaryota, Metazoa, Chordata, Mammalia, Primates, Cercopithecidae.
UUUGUUAAUUCAAAUUUCUCUAGCAUGAACUAGAGUUUGAGGUGUGGUUUGUGUGUUCUCUGGUGCAACAAACUUGGGUGAGGAAAAGAGGUAAUGAACUUGAAAAAAUGAUCUCAUGCUUACUGGGCGAGUCACACUUCUUUUUCUUCUGCUUUGCAAAUUGGUUUGUUUAGUGACCAAUUGUUUUUAGAACUUUUCAAUGUGUCUGGAAACAUCAACACUAUGGGUAUGAUUAAUUUUUAUAAGAAAACAAACUGAAUGAAAGCACAAGAAAGAAAAAACAGGAAAUAUAAUUCUAGUUUUUUAAAAAUCUGCACUCUUUAAAGCAAAGGAACUCCCAGGGUGUUGAGCAAUUUGAGCAAAUCACCAUCGUACCAGGCCACAGGGCAGUUUUCCCACAGGGCGGGGUGCCUAGGGGCUAUUCCUUUACAUGGAAAAUAUUUCUAGGUGAGUUGCGUACUUUCAGUCUGGGGCGUUCCAUCUCUAACGUGGGCAGUUGCUGCUCUGCCCUCUGCCUUCCACCACUUUCCACUUGUUAGAUUUAUCUCAUCCCAUUGGUUUCCUUCCCACCCCUGCCAGAUAAAUAAUCCAAUAUAUGUGAGGGAGGCAUUGUUUUAGAAUAAUGUGGGGACGGUUCAGAAGACCACAUAUUUAAAACAGCUUCUACAAACUGUGGGCUAAAAAAGAAGGCAGGAAGGAGGACACAUCAUAUCAUUAGAAGUCAGUCUAACCACAGAGACAGACCCAAACCCCCAAAUCAUAAGUUAUGAGGUUUGUCUUUUUAGGUUCUACCCUCUCCUUGUGUCUCUUUCCUUCUCAUGGUGUCUUCCCUCACCCUUUGAAAAUUAAAUAAAAGAAGGGAGCUGAUAAAUGAGGCAUUGAUAUGGAUGGCUCAUGAAACUCAACACGCCUCUUUUAUAUGAGCUUGUAUUUUAAUCAGGAACGAAGGAGUGAGUCUCAAGUUGUGGCAUUCCGAAGUUAGGGUAAACGGUGAGGAAGCCUUUGAAUGAAGGAAGAGGAUAGAAGGCUUUCUCCCUGCCAGCUUUGUUUAUGUGGCUCCCUUUCUGGCUUACCUUGUAGUGAGUCUCAUGGAUAGGCUCACGGGUGGGAGGCCAAGAGUUUCUCUUAAUUUAAAGAGACAAAAAGGGGAAGUGGAUCUCCCUACCUUAAAAAGAAUAAUGAUUGGUGACAAACCCAAUAGAAGGCUGGGUUAAGAGUUAUGAAACCUGGACUUGAAUCUUAACUCUUUUAAUAACACAGCAUGAUCGUGAACAAGUCGCUUCCCCUCUAUGAGCCUUAAAUUCCUCACCUGUACAAAGCCUCCAAGUUUGCAGCCAGAACUGAUGUAUCAUGCUAUGAACAGGCACCUGGCCAAUAACUUUCCUAGGAUAAAUGACACUUUAAUUUCUCUCAAAUUACAUAUCUUCUAAGACAAACAAAAACUUCCAAAAGUGUAGUCAUUGACUUCUAAGUGUGACACCCAUCAAUUAAUUUAAAAGUUUUUAAUUUGCUUUUUAAUGCAAUUCUUUGUCAAAUUGGUUUUUUGAUAGCAAUCCAUUUUUUGUGGGUUCAGAAUAUCUUAUUAAACAAACUUGGGUGAAGAAAAGACGUAACAACAUACCAGACUAUAUGGCUGUGACAGAGGCUAGUAUGGAAGAAAAGCCAUGAACACAUAUCCACAAUGGUUUGAGCUUCCCUGGAGAGCUAGUUGCUAAAGGCAGAGAGAGGGAUAUAGGGAAGGAAGGAUAAUUCUGGGAAGUUGAGGAGAGAAGAGGUUUUUCAGUUGGGCUUCGGAAGAUGGUAAAGAGUUCUAUAAGCAGAAAUGGAAGAAGGGAUUCCAAAGACAGGGACACCCUAAGCAUAGCAUGGUGGCAUGACCAGGACACCAAGGGGGGUGGGCAGUGAAAAAUGGCAGGCAGGCCAUUUGGAACCUGGAUGAGUACUGCCUUGAAUACAGGCUGAGGAGUUGUACUUUAUCUCUUAGGUGGUCCAACCACUCUUCCACUGGCUGAAUGGAGAAUAAAAUAGUUGACUCUGGCCAAAUACUAUAAACUGGUCUUUCACAAUGGAACAGGAGCAAAUCUGGAUUCAAAGAAACUGGUCAGCAACAGAGAGUGGGUGGACAAGUGAUGCACCUGGCAAUAGGAAGUAAGAAGGAGCUGGUACUGGGCUCGUGAGUGUAGAGGGAAUG